RNAcentral lists this long non-coding RNA (975 nucleotides) under Ornithorhynchus anatinus (platypus). Its description in RNAcentral is "lncRNA (ENSOANG00000037574.1)". Lineage: Eukaryota; Metazoa; Chordata; Mammalia; Monotremata; Ornithorhynchidae. The record is from RNAcentral.
ACGUUUGAUUUGGGCAGGGAGAGGCUCUUGGUGUUGCAAAGCAGAUUCUGCCCCUGGAUGAAGCAUCUCCUGGCUUCUUGCCAGAAGGUGGGGGUGGGCGGGGGGUGGGGGGUGGGAAGGGACAGAGAGGUUGGCAGUUGGAGGAGAGGAAGCCUCGCUUUUCCAACACUGCGACAUGGGUGAAGUUGCAUUAAUCUUGCAUCAGCCUCCCCUCCAAGCUGUGGGGCUGGACCACCAUCUGCCCCCACAUCUUGGAGGAAUGGUGGUCCUGCCCCGAGGUCCCAAACUGAUUAUCCUGUCUCUACCCUAGGGCUUAAUGUAGUGCUUGGCACUUAGUAAGUGCAAAAUGAGUACCAUCAUUAUUAUUCUGGUUAUUAUUUGAAGUAAUGGUUUUUAUUGAGUGCAGCGUAUUUAGUAAUGACUUGGCAAGUACGGCAGAAGCACAAGACAGUGUUCUCCCUUCCCCCUCCGACUGUGAAUCCCAUGUGAGACAGGGGCUGUGUCUGAUUUGCUUAUCUUGUACGUACCCCAGCGCUUAGUAAGUUCUUGGCCCUGGUAAGUACUCAACAAAUACCUUAAUUAUCAUGAUUAUUAAAAAGACAAGUCCCUGCUCACAAGGAGCUUAUGCUUUAGCAUCUGGUUGAUGGCAUGUAUCCUUGUCCAGUGGUGUAUUUCUCAUGAAAAGCUGUGAUGGUGUUUCAGGAAAACGACACAUUGAACGAAACUCUGACUUUCGUGAGUGGCAAGAAGCUCAAAGAGGAGCUCAGGAAGAUGCAAGUUGACUGUCCAGAAAAAGCUCCUCUAGGACUACUUUGUCCCAAAGCAGAUGAUCAGGUCUCUGUGGCUGAGGAAGUUGCAGAAAACAGGAAACAAUGGAAUAAAGAAGCCCCAGAGACACUGAUGAACAUCCUGGCAGCCGCGGAUCUGACCAGCGAUUCCUUCUCUGCGAGCGAAGGACAGUUUGGUAAGGGGUGA